AAAACCUCAAACACAAGACCCAAAAUAUCAUUAAAAAAAACUGAAAUGAUGGGAAGGGAACACCGCAGACAGGAUGAGGCUGGGUCCCAGAGCAGUGCCCAGGCAGGGGAGCCCAGCAGGACUCAGCGGUGGCUGAAGAACCCCUGAGGGUAGUUGAACUUGAACGGCUUCAAGCGCAUGGGGCCCCUGACCAGACGGAGGCACAUCUUCUCCUGGGGGAACUCUUUGGGUCCCUCCACAGUGGUGUCGUGGGGCUCUGUCUCCAGGUAGACGUCUAGCACCAUGCAGAGGCGCUGCAGCUGGUUGGUGAGGAGCUGGUAGCCCGGUUUGGGCCCCCACAGCUCCUUAUAGCACACGUUGACUUCACUCUCCAUAGCCCGAAUGUUGUCGUCAUUGCUGCCGGUUCGCUCUCCUUUCCAGUUCAGGCAGAGGCUGAAGAUGGGUGGCAGUGCGGAGUAACCGGGAUUCAGGACCACAGCAGCCUGGAGCUUGGCUGUUCCCCUCUCUAUCAG
This 512-nucleotide long non-coding RNA is filed under the name Gallus gallus (chicken). The record is from RNAcentral. Lineage: Eukaryota; Metazoa; Chordata; Aves; Galliformes; Phasianidae.